Molecule: ribosomal RNA, 90 nt
Filed under: Gallionellales bacterium RBG_16_56_9
Lineage: Bacteria; Pseudomonadati; Pseudomonadota; Betaproteobacteria; Nitrosomonadales
Description: partial 23S ribosomal RNA
Rfam family: Bacterial large subunit ribosomal RNA
Source: RNAcentral
CCAGGACGUUGAUAGGCUGGGUGUGGAAGCGCAGCAAUGCGUUAAGCUAACCAGUACUAAUUGCUCGUGAGGCUUGAUCCUAUAACGUUA